RNAcentral lists this ribosomal RNA (557 nucleotides) under Microhyla nilphamariensis. RNAcentral describes it as "partial large subunit ribosomal RNA". It matches the Rfam family "Bacterial large subunit ribosomal RNA", at positions 1811 to 2596 of the family's 2925-position model. The record is from RNAcentral. Lineage: Eukaryota; Metazoa; Chordata; Amphibia; Anura; Microhylidae.
AAACAUCGCCUUCUGAUACUCAUAGAAGGUCCAGCCUGCCCAGUGACUAAGUUAAACGGCCGCGGUACCCUAACCGUGCAAAGGUAGCGCAAUCACUUGUUCUUUAAAUGAGGACUAGUAUGAACGGCAUCACGAGGGUUACACUGUCUCCCUAUUCCAUUCAGUGAAACUGAUCUUCCCGUGAAGAAGCGGGAAUAUAAAUAUAAGACGAGAAGACCCCAUGGAGCUUUAAACUCAGUGUCAUCUGCCACUUCAAUACCCUCUUAAUUACGCAGACCAUGAUAACUAGUUUUCGGUUGGGGUGACCGCGGAGUAAAACAAAACCUCCACAACGAAAGGAACUAACAACCUAAUCCAAGAGCAACAUCUCUAAGAAUCAACAAAUUGACUUAAUUGAUCCAAUUACUUGAUCAACGAACCAAGUUACCCUGGGGAUAACAGCGCAAUCCAUUUCAAGAGCUCAUAUCGACAAAUGGGUUUACGACCUCGAUGUUGGAUCAGGGUAUCCCAGUGGCGCAGCAGCUACUAACGGUUCGUUUGUUCAACGAUUAAAACCC